Micropterus salmoides (largemouth bass) is the source of this 611-nucleotide long non-coding RNA. RefSeq lists it as uncharacterized. The transcript is spliced from 2 exons. Lineage: Eukaryota; Metazoa; Chordata; Actinopteri; Centrarchiformes; Centrarchidae. The record is from RefSeq and is a predicted model, not a curated record.
GUACACCCAGACUGCACAUGAAUGGACAUGUGCCUCCACUGUCACCCAAUGUCUACAUCCAGUUCUGUUUGGAGUAUAUCAGGUAAAAUCAAUGCCCAGUAAUGGGAUUUCAAUUCACACCUUAUCGACCACUCCCAUCCCCAUUCCCUCUGGUGAUGACUGAUUUGCUGGGAAUGACUUCUUUGGGUUUGAUUUUCUCUCCAAAGAGAUGUGGAUCCUGAAGCAGAAUGCUGACUGGAUUUGCCUCCAGGGAGGUUUGCUUUUUGCUGCUGAUUUUUCUCUCUCCCCUUCAACGUAUUGAUGUUUCCUUGCUUAGCUGAGUGGUCUGUUCUGUGUCAAAGGUAUCAGACAGUUGUCCUGUUCUGUCUUCAUUUCAAGUGAGAGGAUGUAAGUGGGCUGCUAGUGUGUGCCUUAACAGCUGUAAUUAGCUGAGACAAGCCCAGAUGCCUUCCAUUCAACUGAAGGCUAAUUAAGUAAUUAAGGAAGCACUCACUCAUGCUUUUCAAUGUUCAUUUUGUUCCUAGGAUGUUUUAGCUUAGGAGUCACUUCUUUUGUAUUUACCCUUUUUUAAAAGCUUGGAAGGAUUACUCAAAAUAAAAGUCCUGAACAAA